This 500-nucleotide ribosomal RNA is filed under the name uncultured bacterium. RNAcentral's name for it is "partial 16S ribosomal RNA". It matches the Rfam family "Bacterial small subunit ribosomal RNA", at positions 30 to 523 of the family's 1533-position model. The record is from RNAcentral.
AUUGAACGCUGGCGGCAUGCCUUACACAUGCAAGUCGAACGGCAGCACGGGAGCAAUCCUGGUGGCGAGUGGCGAACGGGUGAGUAAAGUAUCGGAACGUGCCCAGUCGUGGGGGAUAACGUAGCGAAAGUUACGCUAAUACCGCAUACGAUCUAUGGAUGAAAGCGGGGGAUCGCAAGACCUCGCGCGAUUGGAGCGGCCGAUAUCAGAUUAGGUAGUUGGUGGGGUAAAGGCUCACCAAGCCGACGAUCUGUAGCUGGUCUGAGAGGACGACCAGCCACACUGGGACUGAGACACGGCCCAGACUCCUACGGGAGGCAGCAGUGGGGAAUUUUGGACAAUGGGCGAAAGCCUGAUCCAGCCAUGCCGCGUGCAGGAUGAAGGCCUUCGGGUUGUAAACUGCUUUUGUACGGAACGAAAAGGUUUGGCCUAAUAAGCUGAGCUCAUGACGGUACCGUAAGAAUAAGCACCGGCUAACUCUGUGCCAGCAGCCGCAGUAA